Molecule: ribosomal RNA, 279 nt
Filed under: uncultured bacterium
Lineage: Bacteria
Description: partial 16S ribosomal RNA
Rfam family: Bacterial small subunit ribosomal RNA
Source: RNAcentral
UGCCAGCAGCCGCGGUAAUACGGAGGGUGCAAACGUUGCUCGGAAUCAUUGGGCGUAAAGCGCACGUAGGCGGCUAAGUAUGUCGACUGUGAAAGCCCUCGGCUUAACCGAGGAAGUGCAGCCGAAACUGCUUAGCUUGAGUACGGGAGAGGGUAGCGGAAUUCCCGGUGUAGAGGUGAAAUCCGUAGAUAUUCGGAGGAACACCAGUGGCGAAGGCGGCUUUCUGGACCGAUACUGACGCUGAGACGCGAAAGCGUGGGGAGCAAACAGGAUUAGAUA